AGAGUUUGAUCCUGGCUCAGAACGAACGCUGGCGGCAUGCCUAAUACAUGCAAGUCGAACGGCAGCACGGGGGCAACCCUGGUGGCGAGUGGCGAACGGGUGAGUAAUAUAUCGGAACAUGUCCGGAAGUGGGGGAUAACGUACCGAAAGGUACGCUAAUACCGCAUAUGCCCUGAGGGGGAAAGGGGGGGAUCGCAAGACCUCUCGCUUUCGGAGUGGCCGAUAUCGGAUUAGCUAGUUGGUGAGGUAAAGGCUCACCAAGGCGACGAUCCGUAGCUGGUCUGAGAGGACGACCAGCCACACUGGAACUGAGACACGGUCCAGACUCCUACGGGAGGCAGCAGUGGGGAAUUUUGGACAAUGGGCGCAAGCCUGAUCCAGCCAUGCCGCGUGAGUGAAGAAGGCCUUCGGGUUGUAAAGCUCUUUCAGCCGGAAAGAAAUUGCUUCUAUUAAUACUAGGAGUAGAUGACGGUACCGGAAGAAGAAGCACCGGCUAACUACGUGCCAGCAGCCGCGGUAAUACGUAGGGUGCGAGCGUUAAUCGGAAUUACUGGGCGUAAAGCGUGCGCAGGCGGUUUGGUAAGACAGACGUGAAAUCCCCGGGCUUAACCUGGGAACUGCGUUUGUGACUGUCAGACUAGAGUGUAGCAGAGGGGGGUAGAAUUCCACGUGUAGCAGUGAAAUGCGUAGAUAUGUGGAGGAAUACCAAUGGCGAAGGCAGCCCCCUGGGUUAACACUGACGCUCAUGCACGAAAGCGUGGGGAGCAAACAGGAUUAGAUACCCUGGUAGUCCACGCCCUAAACGAUGUCAACUAGGUGUUGGGGAAGGAGACUUCUUUAGUACCGCAGCUAACGCGUGAAGUUGACCGCCUGGGGAGUACGGUCGCAAGAUUAAAACUCAAAGGAAUUGACGGG
Molecule: ribosomal RNA, 915 nt
Filed under: uncultured bacterium
Lineage: Bacteria
Description: bacterial SSU rRNA
Rfam family: Bacterial small subunit ribosomal RNA
Source: RNAcentral